Molecule: ribosomal RNA, 496 nt
Filed under: uncultured bacterium
Lineage: Bacteria
Description: partial 16S ribosomal RNA
Rfam family: Bacterial small subunit ribosomal RNA
Source: RNAcentral
AUUGAACGCUGGCGGAAUGCUUUACACAUGCAAGUCGAACGGUAGAGGGGGCAACCCCUCGAGAGUGGCGAACGGGUGAGUAAUAUAUCGGAACGUGCCCAGUCGUGGAGGAUAACGUAGCGAAAGUUACGCUAAUACCGCAUACGAUCUAAGGAUGAAAGCGGGGGAUCGCAAGACCUCGCGCGAUUGGAGCGGCCGAUAUCAGAUUAGGUAGUUGGUGGGGUAAAGGCUCACCAAGCCAACGAUCUGUAGCUGGUCUGAGAGGACGACCAGCCACACUGGAACUGAGACACGGUCCAGACUCCUACGGGAGGCAACAGUGGGGAAUUUUGGACAAUGGACGCAAGUCUGAUCCAGCCAUUCCGCGUGCAGGAUGAAGGCCCUCGGGUUGUAAACUGCUUUUGUACGGAACGAAAAGGUCUCUCUUAAUACGGGGGACUCAUGACGGUACCGUAAGAAUAAGCACCGGCUAACUACGUGCCAGCCGCCGCCGUAA